RNAcentral lists this long non-coding RNA (416 nucleotides) under Rosa chinensis. RNAcentral describes it as "sRNA RchiOBHm_Chr2g0141471". The record is from RNAcentral. Lineage: Eukaryota; Viridiplantae; Streptophyta; Magnoliopsida; Rosales; Rosaceae.
GUCCUCAAGUUUGGUUCGAUUUCUGGUUCGAUUUCGAAUUCUUCAAGCUUGGUAAGUUGCUGCCUUUCUGGGUAUUCAGUUCUUGUGUAUGAUACUAUGAAUAAUGAAUGAUUGCUCAAGUGUGAAAAAAAAUAGUAACUAUGUUUGCAGCUGCUUGCUACUCUAGUUUUUUGUAUCAUCAUUUUUAGUUUCUGAAGAAGAAGUUAAAAUAUAUGUCGGCUGUAUUAAGAAUUUGUUUGGGCAACUUUAGAGGUUGAACUUAAAUGGAAUUUGAUUUCAUCAUGUAGAAGAUUGGAAGGGAAUGCAGAAAUAUGCACACAUCAGUGGCGUGUUUUGAUUUUUGUCUAUUAGACUUUACCAUUGGGUUAGACCAAGUCAUAUCACCAAGGCUUCUGGUGUGACUUGGUUGUAAGGUU